This 1428-nucleotide ribosomal RNA is filed under the name metagenome. RNAcentral's name for it is "bacterial SSU rRNA". It matches the Rfam family "Archaeal small subunit ribosomal RNA". The record is from RNAcentral.
GUUGAUUUUGCCGGGGAUCACUGCUAUUGGAGUUCGCUUAAGCCAUGCGAGUUGAGAGGGUUCGGUUUUUGGUAUAUGGCUCAGUAACACGUGGAUAAUCUGUCCUGAGGUGGGGGAUGGGUUUGGGAAAUUGAGGAUAAUAUUCCAUAGAUUAGGUGUUUUGGAAUGUUUUUUGGUUUGAAGUUUUGGCGCCUCAGGAUGAGUCUGCGGCCUAUCAGGUUGUAGUGAGUGUAGUGGACUCAUUAGUUGAUGAUGGGUAUGGGUAGUGGGAGUUGUUGUUUGGAGAUGGACUCUGAGGUAUGAGUCCAGGCCCUAUGGGGUGUAGUAGGUGUGAAAAUUUUAUAAUGUGGGAAAUUGUGAUGAGGGAACUCCAAGUGUCUAGGUGGUGUUUAGACUGUUUUCUAGUUUAGAAAACUAGGAGAGUAAGGGCUGGGUAGGACUGGUGUUAGUUGUUGUGGUAAUACCUGCAGCUCGAGUGGUGAUCCUUUUUAUUGGGUUUAAAGCGUCCGUAGCCGGUCUAGUAAAUCCUUGGGUAAAUUGUACUGUUUGGUGGUAUGAAUUUUGGGGAGAUUGCUAGACUUGGGACUGGGAGAGGUCGGAGGUACUCCAGGGGUAGGGGUGGGGUUUUGUAAUUCCUGGGGGACCAUUAGUGGUGAAGGUGUUUGAUUAGAAUGGAUUUGAUGGUGAGGGAUGAAGCCGUGGGGCACAAAUUGGAUUGGAUAUUUGGGUAGUCCACGGUGUAAAUGUUGUGAGUUUGGUGUUGGGGGUCCUAUGAGGGCGCCCAGUGCCGGAGAGAAGUUGUUAAGCUCGCCGUUUGGGGAGUACGGUCGUAAGACUGAAAUUUAAAGGAAUUGGCGGGGGAGCAUUGUAACGGGUGGAGCGUGCGGUUCAAUUGGAUUCAGUGUUGGAAAAUUUAUUGGAGGUGAUUGUUAUAUGAAGGUUAAGUUGAUGAUUUUAUUUGAUUUUUAGAGAGGUGGUGCAUGGCCGCCGUCAGUUCGUACCGUAAGGUGUUCUGUUAAGUCAGAUAACGAACGAGACCCCAUCUCUUAAUUGUUAUACUGGUCUUUGGAUCAGUGGAACAUUAAGAGAACCGCUGGCGUUAAGUCAGAGGAAGGUGGGGCAACGGUAGGUCAGUAUGCCUCGAAUCCUCCGGGUUACACGCGCGCUACAAAGGAUAGGAUAAUGGAUUCCGACAUCGAAAGAUGAAGGUAAUUUUGAAAUCUAUUCGUAGUCCGGAUUGAGGGCUGUAGUUUGCCCUUAUGAAGCUGGAAUCCUUAGUAAUCGUGGGUUAAUAUUCCACGGUGAAUAUGCCCUUGCUCCUUGUAUAUAUUGCCCGUCAAACCAUCUGAGUAGGGUGGGAAUGAGGGUUCGUUUUGUUGGUGAAUUCGAAUUCCUGUUCUGCAAGGAGGGUUAAGUUGUAAUAAGGUA